Molecule: long non-coding RNA, 1101 nt
Organism: Panicum virgatum (switchgrass)
Lineage: Eukaryota; Viridiplantae; Streptophyta; Magnoliopsida; Poales; Poaceae
Exons: 2
Source: RefSeq, a predicted model, not a curated record
CGCAUCUUUAAUAGACGAAACUUGACCCUGCACUUGGGUGAAAAUCGAUCCCAUGUAGCGCCACGUCUACAACAAUUUUGGUCCAUUGGAUUCUCAAGCAACGGCUGGAGAAAAGCAAGCGUAUAUAGGUUAGCUUCCUGAACGCACGUAUUGGAGACAAUAAUCUUCCUGAACGUGCUUAGUACUCCAGCAAGGAAAUUCGCGACGCUUCCUCUUCUGAAUCGCUAGAAACUUCCCGAGCGGACGAGGAGCCGUGCCGACGGCAAGCCGGAACACAAGCUAAAUAUCUUCCGUUGCUCCGGUAUCCUUUUCCACCACAGUUCUUCCACAAAUCUCAGAUACACUUCGCCUUCCACAAGACCGCACUUCUAACGCACAACUUCUUGAAUUCACACAGAAGUUCCUUCCCCAUACGCUCGAUCUGAUAUACAAUACAAAGAGAAACACGAGGGCCCAGACGUUUGAUCUCAUCGCAGGUGACGCAGCCGACGGCCACGCCAACCCUGCCGUCUUCGUCGACGGGACCGGCGACGCCAACCUUCACAUUGUUGUGCCGACCGGCGACUGCCUCGUUCACGCCUCUCCGACGGCCACUUACCGAGAUCCGAAGUGAUCCUAGCUUCCUGUAACAGAUGGAUAUAGUGAAGCACAUGGUGGUGCAAUGGCUUGGGGGCUUUGCUACAACCAUGAAUUGAGCCCCAGUCAGAGCUACUCUCAUGAUUGCAAUGAGUACUAUGGCAGAGGCGCUAUUCCUGUUUACAGGUCAGACUGAUAUGUCACUUUGUUGAUAAUCUUGGAUCCGCUUGUUGAUGUUCACCAGGAAUCACAACUAUGGUAUCUCAUUACCAAUACUAUCUUGACUUGAUGGGAGUUGGCCCUGAGCACUCUGGACACAACUUGGAUUGUGGUGAUCAGGUGGCUUUCAAUCCAUCAUCAGAGAGUUCCGACUUCUAAGAAACUGUUUUAAAAAUCAGUGUGUCUAGGGCCGAGGGCCCACUAACUGGGUUCCCCAAGCUAUUGUGAUCAUGUCUUUGAAACAACAGUUGUUUGCCCUAUGGCAUAUAUAAUAUGUACUAUGAUGCUUAAUAUUUUACCACCGCA